GGGGGUGGGGCUCGCAUUCUUCCUCUUGAAUUUUUGACAGGAAAAUUGUGCUUCGGGAAAGAUGGAAUGUCAUUCCCAUGUAGUUCGCUCCUCCAUCUCAGCUCCUCCAUGAUGAUGCGGCAGCCUCACUUCCUGACAAGCUACAGACCAGACCAGUAUCCCACUAUCAGUCUUCGGGCCCAGGAAUCGAGGACCCUCGCCCUACGGGAGAUGCAAAGCCACAGACAAAAGGCCAAAGGUAGAUUAGAAUGACUAGCUUCAUAAAAGC
Molecule: long non-coding RNA, 268 nt
Filed under: Chinchilla lanigera (long-tailed chinchilla)
Lineage: Eukaryota; Metazoa; Chordata; Mammalia; Rodentia; Chinchillidae
Description: lncRNA (ENSCLAG00000027163.1)
Source: RNAcentral